CGCUAAACAAAAUCCCAAUUGCCCGGGAAAAGACGAAAAAGAGAAGAUGGAUACCGUCGUCCUCGGCCUCAAGCCCUCCUUCCUCCCUCCGCCUCCCAAGCCAAAACCCAAACCCUCAAAACCACCAAACUCAAACUUCAAAAUCCCCAUCAAGUCCUCAAUUCAUUCGGACCCCUGGUCCUUGAGCGACGGCAAUAUUUCAAAACCCAAACCCAAAUCCAAGAACCCCAAGAAGCCUCUCUCAGACGACGACGCCAGGCGCAUAAUCAAAGCUAAAGCGCAGUACUUGAGCUUGCUCCGUAAACACCAGGGUCCUCGCGCCCAGACUCCCAAGUGGAUAAAGAGAACGCCUGACCAGAUGGUGCAGUACUUGCAGGAUGAUAGGAAUGGCAGACUUUAUGGGAAGCAUGUAGUUGCCGCCAUAAAGACUGUGAGGUCCAUGGCCGGGAAGAGAGAGGAGGAGAGGAAUAUCAGGCUGGUGAUGAGUGGGUUUGUGGGUAAGUUGAGCUUUAGAGAGAUGUGUACUGUUUUGAAGGAGCAGAAAGGAUGGAGGGAGGCUAGAGACUUCUUUGCCUGGAUGAAAAUGCAGUUAAGCUAUCGCCCAAGUGUUAUAGUCUACACAAUUGUUUUACGAAUAUAUGGGCAAGUUGGAAAAAUCAAGUUGGCUGAACAGACCUUCUUGGAAAUGCUUGAAGCAGGAUUUGAGCCUGAUGAAGUUGCUUGUGGUACUAUGUUGUGUUCAUAUGCCAGAUGGGGACGUCAUAAGGCUAUGUUUUCAUUUUAUUCUGCUGUACAAGAAAGGGGAAUUAUACUGUCAGUUUCAGUUUACAACUUUAUGUUGUCCUCUUUGCAGAAGAAAUCACUUCAUGGCAAGGUCAUAGAAUUAUGGAGGCAAAUGGUGAAUAAAGGGGUUGCGCCCAAUAAUUUUACUUAUACCGUAGUCAUCAGUUCACUUGUCAAGGAAGGUUUUCAUGAGGAGGCUCUAAAAAUCUUUAAUGAGAUGAAUAACAGUGGGCACGUGCCUGAGGAAGUGACAUAUAGCUUGCUUAUUACCAUAAGUACCAAAAAUUGUAACUGGGAUGAAGCAGGGAGAUUAUAUGAGGAUAUGAGAUCUCAUGGAAUUGUUCCAAGUAACUUCACCUGUGCUUCACUUCUGACCAUGUAUUACAAAAACGGAGAUUAUUCUAAAGCCCUUUCUCUAUUUACAGAAAUGCAAAGCAAGAAAAUUGCUGUGGAUGAAGUUAUCUAUGGCUUGCUCAUCAGAAUAUAUGGGAAACUUGGCCUGUAUGACGAUGCACAGAAAACAUUUGAAGAGGUUGAGCAACUGGGUAUGCUGAGUGAUGAGAAAACAUAUUUAGCGAUGGCACAAGUCCAUCUUAAUUCAGGAAAUGUUGAGAAAGCUUUGAGUGUUAUUGAAGUGAUGAAGUCAAGAGACAUUUGGUCAUCAAGAUUUGCUUAUAUUGUUCUAUUGCAGUGCUAUGUUAUGAAAGAAGAUCUGGACUCUGCUGAAGUUACAUUUCAAGUUUUAUCAAAGACUGGACUUCCUGAUGCUGGUUCUUGUAAUGACAUGCUCAAUUUGUAUCUAAGACUGCAGUUGGCUGAAAAGGCUAAAGAUUUUAUCAUCCAAAUAAUAAAAGAUCAAGUAGAUUUUGAUGAGGAGCUUUACAAGACAGCCAUUAAAGUACUUUGCAAGGAGGGUAUGCUAAGAGAUGCUGAGCAACUGACAAAAGAGAUGGGUACUAAUAAAUCAUUCAAAGAUUGUAGUUUCUUCCAGACUUUUUUCAAGAUUAUGCAUGGAGAAAACAAGGAAUGUAAACACUUCUUGGUCUUUGAUCAACCUGACACUAUGGCUUUCAGGCUUAUCUUUACAUUGUAUUUGAGACAUGGUAGCUUCAGUAAGAUGGAAGAAAUCCUGAAGUUGUUGCUUGAGACUGCUGGUGGUUUGUCUACACUGAAUCAACUAGUUAGCAGCUUCAUCAGGGAAGGUGAUGUAUGUGAAGCAGACACAAUUAGUGCUCAAGUAACCAAGCUAGGCUUCAGAUUAGAGGAUGAAAUAAUUGCUUCAUUGAUUAAUCUAUAUGGUAAAAGACAAAAGUUGAAGCAAGCUCAAGAGGUCUUUGCAACAGUUGCAGAUUCCCCAUUAUGUGGAAAGUCAAUAGUUAACUCAAUGAUUGAUGCAUAUGUUAAAUGUGGUAAAUCAGAGGAAGCUUACUCUCUCUAUAAAGAAUUAACUGAUCGAGGUCACAAUCUGGGUGCUGUUGGUAUCAGCAUAAUUGUGAAUGCAUUGACUAAAUGUGGUAGGAAUGCCUCUUUAUAUGCUAGUAAAGUUUAUUUUAUUUUCUAACAUUCUUUGGUAGGUAGUAAGUUGAUUACAUUUUCAAGCAAGUCUAUGUAUAUGUAGAUAUAAUCUAAACCUCUUUCACAUUUACAAAGAUUCAUCCUCAUGAAUUAACAUUUUGUUGCCCACAACAGUUAUAGGUUCCAAAAGUUAAAGCUUCCAUCUCACCUAAGUCGGUGAUUUAUCAUUUAUCUUUGUGAAGGCAGUUAAAAUAGGCAUGCUUGUGGUGUAGUUCAUAGUGUUUAUUGAUCUAGUAUUUAGUUACAUCUAUGGCUAUUUUGAUUAGUGACAAGAAUUACUCCAUUCCCAGGCAAACCUCGAGAAGCAGAGAAUGUUAUUCGCAAGAGUAUUCAUGACAAUAUGGAGCUUGAUACCAUGGCAUACAAUAUUUUCAUCAAGGCAAUGCUAGAAGCAGGGAGAUUGCAUUUUGCAGCCAGCAUCUAUGAACGAAUGAUUUCCUUAAGUGUUACUCCAUCAAUUCAGACAUACAACUCCAUGAUUAGGUGACAACCUGAUGGAAGGAAAAUGACUCAAAAUAAUUUUAUUUGUAUACCUGAAUGUUUUUCUAUAUAUGGGGAGUUGUUGCAGCUUUUAUUAAUUAACUACUAAUGCAGUGUUUAUGGACGAGGUCGGAAGCUGGAUAAAGUUGCAGAGAUCUUAAAUACUGCUUGCAGCUUGGGUGUGCCUCUGGAUGAGAAGGCAUACAUGAACAUUAUUAGCUAUUAUGGCAAGGCUGGUAAGACACAUGAAGCAUCACUUCUGUUCACCAAAAUGCAGGAAGAAGGGAUAAAACCAGGGAAGGUUAGCUACAACAUUAUGAUCAAUGUGUAUGCCAUGGCGGGACUUUAUCAUGAAGUUGAGGGACUUUUUCGUGGCAUGCAGAGAGAUGGCUGGCCACCAGACUCCUUUACAUACCUCUCUCUUGUUCGAGCUUAUACAGAGAAUUUGAAAUACUCCGAGGCUGAGGAGACGAUUGAUGCUAUGCAAAAGAAAGGCAUCCCACCUUCCUGUGCUCAUUUUCACCUCUUACUCUCUGCUUAUGCAAAAGCUGGUCUAAUGAUAGAAGCAGAAAGGGUUUAUAAAAAACUAUUGACAACUGGUUUAAGUCCUGAUCUUGCUUGUCAUCAGACUAUGCUUAGAGGUUACAUGGAUUAUCGACAUGUGGAAGAAGGUAUACACUUUUUUGAGCAGAUGAGGGAGUCUGUAGAACCUGAUCGGUUCAUUAUGAGUGCGGCUGUACAUUUGUACAAUUUUGCCGGAAAGAAACACAUGGCUGAAGUUCUUUUGGGAUCCAUGAACAAUUUGAGGAUCCCAUUCCUUAGUAACCUUGAGGUUGGAUCAAAGAUAGAAGCUACUGAUGUGUGUCAGAGGUAACUUUACGAUGCACUACAUAACCUGGAGAGCAAAAUGACGCAGAGGAAUUCUUAUGUUUAUAUGGAGCAAUGAUGAGUGGAAACAAUCAUUUGUUGGUGAAUUUCUAUUGCUAUUCCUCUUUUGUUCAAGUGGUGGAGAACACCAUCUCUAUGAAAGCUUAGGCCUCAUGUUUGAGGGAGAUGCCCCAAACUUGAACGAUCCAUGAGUAACUAUGAACAAAUGCUGCAUGAUUGCAUACCAGAGGUGACACAGUAGUGGAUUAAGAGUCCAUACCGCUGUUCUUUCACCAUUCAGCGAAGAGCUCCUCCAGUAUAUGAAGAUAAAUUGUAUAGCAAAGAUGUUUAAGAAGAUUGUUCAUGGACUAAGGCAACUUUAACUAGAAAAUGCAUGAUAGAGAUGGCGGUGCCACGCACAGCAGCAGUUAUGUGAUACGUACCGGAUGAUCUUAAAGUAUUGACAUUUGCUUCCUUUUUGAAACUACCAUCCAGUUUAGUACAGCAGUUGUGCUUAAUAUUCUUGAACGUAAAUACAUAAUUCUUUGAAGCUGCAGUAAUGUGCAUUCUUUGAAGAUGUGCCAGAAGAAGUGAGUCGCAGCCUCUUGUUCUAGUAGCAUUUAUAAACUAGAAUGCAACCACCUGGGACUUGUGACCUCUCUAUUUUGUCAAUAAUGUUUCCUUUCUUCCUUAGGAUCUAUUCAAGAACUGCAUGAAUGGGUUUGCAAACCUAAAGCCUGCACAAGUUCAAUUCAACUAAAUUCUAUUUGGA
This 4477-nucleotide unclassified non-coding RNA is filed under the name Hevea brasiliensis (rubber tree). Lineage: Eukaryota; Viridiplantae; Streptophyta; Magnoliopsida; Malpighiales; Euphorbiaceae. The record is from RNAcentral.